UAAGGGCGCACGGUGGAUGCCUUGGCACUAGAAGCCGAUGAAGGACGUUACUAACGACGAUAUGCUUUGGGGAGCUGUAAGUAAGCUUUGAUCCAGAGAUUUCCGAAUGGGGAAACCCAGCAUGAGUUAUGUCAUGUUAUCGAUAUGUGAAUACAUAGCAUAUCAGAAGGCACACCCGGAGAACUGAAACAUCUUAGUACCCGGAGGAAGAGAAAGAAAAUUCGAUUCCCUUAGUAGCGGCGAGCGAAACGGGAAGAGCCCAAACCAACAAGCUUGCUUGUUGGGGUUGUAGGACACUCUAUACGGAGUUACAAAGGACGACAUUAGACGAAUCAUCUGGAAAGAUGAAUCAAAGAAGGUAAUAAUCCUGUAGUCGAAAAUGUUGUCUCUCUUGAGUGGAUCCUGAGUACGACGGAGCACGUGAAAUUCCGUCGGAAUCUGGGAGGACCAUCUCCUAAGGCUAAAUACUCUCUAGUGACCGAUAGUGAACCAGUACCGUGAGGGAAAGGUGAAAAGCACCCCGGAAGGGGAGUGAAAUAGAACCUGAAACCGUGUGCUUACAAGUAGUCAGAGCCCGUUAAUGGGUGAUGGCGUGCCUUUUGUAGAAUGAACCGGCGAGUUACGAUUUGAUGCAAGGUUAAGCAGUAAAUGUGGAGCCGUAGCGAAAGCGAGUCUGAAUAGGGCGUUUAGUAUUUGGUCGUAGACCCGAAACCAGGUGAUCUACCCUUGGUCAGGUUGAAGUUCAGGUAACACUGAAUGGAGGACCGAACCGACUUACGUUGAAAAGUGAGCGGAUGAACUGAGGGUAGCGGAGAAAUUCCAAUCGAACCUGGAGAUAGCUGGUUCUCUCCGAAAUAGCUUUAGGGCUAGCCUCAAGUGAUGAUUAUUGGAGGUAGAGCACUGUUUGGACGAGGGGCCCCUCUCGGGUUACCGAAUUCAGACAAACUCCGAAUGCCAAUUAAUUUAACUUGGGAGUCAGAACAUGGGUGAUAAGGUCCGUGUUCGAAAGGGAAACAGCCCAGACCACCAGCUAAGGUCCCAAAAUAUAUGUUAAGUGGAAAAGGAUGUGGCGUUGCCCAGACAACUAGGAUGUUGGCUUAGAAGCAGCCAUCAUUUAAAGAGUGCGUAAUAGCUCACUAGUCGAGUGACACUGCGCCGAAAAUGUACCGGGGCUAAACAUAUUACCGAAGCUGUGGAUUGUCCUUUGGACAAUGGUAGGAGAGCGUUCUAAGGGCGUUGAAGCAU
Molecule: ribosomal RNA, 1245 nt
Filed under: Staphylococcus aureus
Lineage: Bacteria; Bacillati; Bacillota; Bacilli; Caryophanales; Staphylococcaceae
Description: partial 23S ribosomal RNA
Rfam family: Bacterial large subunit ribosomal RNA
Source: RNAcentral